GCUGAAAUAGCUCAGUUGGGAGAGCGUCAGACUGAAGUUCUGAAAAUCCCUGGUUUGACCCCGGGUUUCAGCA
Molecule: non-coding RNA, 73 nt
Organism: Nerophis ophidion (straightnose pipefish)
Lineage: Eukaryota; Metazoa; Chordata; Actinopteri; Syngnathiformes; Syngnathidae
Source: the annotation of a RefSeq genome assembly